Molecule: ribosomal RNA, 425 nt
Filed under: Aquarana catesbeiana (American bullfrog)
Lineage: Eukaryota; Metazoa; Chordata; Amphibia; Anura; Ranidae
Description: Lithobates catesbeianus (American bullfrog) partial 12S ribosomal RNA
Rfam family: Bacterial small subunit ribosomal RNA
Source: RNAcentral
AUUACGAGCAAUGCUUAAAACCCAAAGGAUUUGACGGUGUCCCACCCCACUAGAGGAGCCUGUUCUAUAAUCGAUGAUCCCCGAUAUACCCGACCAUUUCUCGCUUAUCAGUCUGUAUACCUCCGUCGAAAGCUUACCAUGUGAACGCUUGCAGUAGGCUUAAUGACCUAACACGUCAAUACGUCAGGUUAAGGUGCAGCUUAAGAAAUGGCAAGUAAUGGGCUACAAUUUCUAAUCUAGAACAAACGAAAGACUAUAUGAAAUUAUAAUCAUGAAGGUGGAUUUAGUAGUAAAAAGAAAUUAGAGUGUUCUUUUUAACCCGGCUCUGGGACGCGUACCCACCGCCCGUCACCCUCUUCGAUAGUAUCUCACCCCGUUCCUAACCCACUAUUACAUUUUAGAAGAGGCAAGUCGUAACAUGGUAA